UUGAGCAGGGGGUUGGACUAGAUGACCUCCUGAGGUCUCUUCCAACCCUAAUCUUCUAUGAAAUGUCUCUCUCCUUUGGCCUCUCCAACAUUUUCUUGAUGCUUCUCAUUUUCAGUCAACACUGGUGACUGAACACCUUCAUUCCCCUCCCACCAAACCUUGUCUGGCUUUUGCCAAGAUGCUCUGAAGGGAUCGUUGUCCCAGCAUUACAAUCAGCUUAAUUAUAAAUCCAUUUAAAUGCCAAAUUCCUGACCUCCCUGGAUUCUAUCACUUCCUGAGGAGACCUCACUCUCUGAAUCCUGUGUAACUUCUGAGAUCUGGAUUGGUGAUGUCUGAGCCACUUCAGAAAUGGAUGGUGAACUUCCCAAACCACCUCCAUUAUGCAUUCCAUCCACCAGGAACAGUCAAUGUUUCCAUUCUUCACAGUUUUUUUUUUAAAUCAGCUAACAUAAUGUGCCUUUACCAAGAUGGAGAAAUUUCUUUCUCUGAACCCCAAAAUAUCAGCCAGAUUGUUUUUUAAAUGCAUCCUGAGAGUCCUUGCCAAUACAGCUAGGGAAAUGAAAGUAUUUUAGAUUAUUAAGCCAUAGGGGACAACUUAGGGACCUAAGCUUCAGGUCUGAAAAUACAUAGACAGGCUUUUAUCUGGCAGGGCUAACUAAGCCCGUUGUCUUUCUGCUUCAGAAAGACUGAUCUCCAUGCAGUAUAUAAUGGGGAGGUCUUUUUGGAUGAGAUCUUGAAAAACUGGCUGCUCUGCGUGGAUAUUAAAGCUCUCCUGGCCCUUUUUGUAAGGGCCUGUGUUUGCCACAGUGUCCUUAGGCAAAAUUUCCCCUUCUCCCUCGGGGGUAUGUUAUGCUGAACACAACUGUCUGCCUCGCUUAGUGCCAGCUGUCUGCUGGAUGGGUGGUUCAUCUUAGCAAUCACUCAAGAGAUCCCAGAAUUUACUCUGCUUCCCAGACCCCUUUCUGUUGCAGUUUUAGUAGGACAAAAUGGCCCUUCCCUUGUAGAGUUCCAGUGCCAAGGAGUGCUGCUGGGCCCAGAUGGAUCACGUACUCUUGAGAACUGAAACAGCUGAUACAAUUAUUUGACUCCAAAAGGUAUGUCAGCUUCAAGGGCGAUGAGUCUUACUGGGAAUGUCCCCAUUUUGCAGGACUGCAACACCCUGCUAAGCAUUCACCAGAGCACUUUACCAAACCAACCCUGUUAAUAAAUGGAAGACUAUUGACUCCCAACUGGGACCAUCUGCCAGUGAGAGAAUGUAAAUUGACUCUGAAUUGGGACCACCUGUGAGCGACUGCCUUUUGCUCAUGUGAUCGCCUGAGUGCGUUCCUGCUGAUGGCAGGCUGAGGCCAUCUGGUGAGGUUUGGGGAGUGUGUAGUUGUUAAACUGAGCUGGUGAGGCCUUAGCUCCCUGAACACAAACGGCCGAGGUUCUGCCACCUUGUCCAGUGUGUUUAUCGAGAGCUUUACUAAACAAAGCCUAGGAGUGAGUGGAUUCCUAUUGAUUGCUGCUUGGGAUCCUUGGGUGAGUUUCUGUAACUGUCGCUAUGUAAAACUGAGUUGGUGUGGCCAUAAUAAUAAUACCACCACCUAGCUCUUGUGUAGUGCUAAUCACAGACCUGGAAUCUCAGAGGAGCCGAAAAAUACCCACCAGCAGUGAACCGUAGCUGAGCUGGUAAACGAUGGGGGAACGGCAAGGAGCUUAAGGCAGUUUGGACAAAGUGCAGGACUUGCAAUGUUCUGUACAGCCCUGAAGCAGGAGGUUCCUGGCAGAGGACACUUGUCGAUCCAUCCCAGGCUGAACUUGUUGAUCUGAUGCUCCUCUGUGGACUCAGGCUUUAACGUGAGUGAGAUACAAGAUGACACUUUCCAUGCUCCAGCUCCUCUCCUGUCCUCACUUGCUCACCAGCCAGCGGCAGGCAGUGUCCGUGUCUAGCGGGCCUAACAGCAGCAGAGGUAUGGCUUGGCGUAACUACCCAUCCUUGGUUCCAGCAGGCCCCAUAGCAGCUGACGUGUCGCCCAGCUGUCUGCAGAGGGUGUCCCAGCAACAGGCCUGACACACUAAUGCACUAAUUACCAGUAAUAAUAGAAACAAAGGCCAGGACACGCAAUGCACAAGAACCGGAAGACAAGUCUGGCUGGACUAACUCAGCCCUCCCAAAACAAAUGCAAAGGAAAAACAUCAGUAGGUUACCUCCACUGACGUAUGGUCAGGAAUCUGACUGGUCCUAUGGUGAACGGGGGAAGGCACCAGCUUGAAACCUUGGCCUUUUAGGCAAGAACUGUCAUAACCAAAGAGCUGGAAAUGAGUUAAAAGCUGAGACUCUGACUGAAGGGCCAGAGAGUGAGAGGCACGAACUGCAAGGGUGCAGCUGCAGCCAGCUCAGUACUGCGGGGAUGUGACAGACGAAGUGGGGGAUUCCUACACUGGCAAGGAAAGGCGACUGCAUGGGGAUGAGAAUGUGUGUACAGGCCUUUUGUUGCUUUAACCCAUUUCCUCUCUGUUGUAUUCCUCUGGAUAAAUACAUCGUACUUGGUUUGGAA
Non-coding RNA from Chrysemys picta bellii (western painted turtle), 2540 nucleotides. The record is from RefSeq and is a predicted model, not a curated record. Lineage: Eukaryota; Metazoa; Chordata; Testudines; Emydidae.